AAUGCAUCCAUAAACCCUUUAAAAUUUUCUGAUCGAGCCUCCUUUACUAAGAUGAGCAAAUAUGAGGCGAUCAACCUCCGAGGUAGAUAUCUCUUCGCUUGGGUUAGCCAUCAUAGUGAUCGAUUUGAGCUGAAGAUCUUCCCACAAAAGAAGCAGUUUGAUCCCUCUGUCUCAAAUCUGUAUGUAGCCUUAGCAAUCCCAUCACAUGAUGUUCUUAAAAUUAUUAUACCACAUCAACAGUUUGUUAUAGUACAAUCUUGAGUUUGUUGAGAUACAAUUCAUUAGA
This 286-nucleotide long non-coding RNA is filed under the name Elaeis guineensis (African oil palm). RNAcentral describes it as "long non-coding RNA (EGUI_LNC004501)". The record is from RNAcentral. Lineage: Eukaryota; Viridiplantae; Streptophyta; Magnoliopsida; Arecales; Arecaceae.